RNAcentral lists this transfer RNA (83 nucleotides) under Spinacia oleracea (spinach). It matches the Rfam family "tRNA". From Rfam's summary of the family: Transfer RNA (tRNA) molecules are approximately 80 nucleotides in length. Their secondary structure includes four short double-helical elements and three loops (D, anti-codon, and T loops). Lineage: Eukaryota; Viridiplantae; Streptophyta; Magnoliopsida; Caryophyllales; Amaranthaceae. The record is from Rfam by way of RNAcentral.
GGGAGAGUGGACAAGUGGAUAAAAGCGACGGACUGUAAAUCUGUUUAAGUUUUUGUACGCAGGUUCGAAUCUUGCCUCUCCUA